Molecule: ribosomal RNA, 583 nt
Filed under: uncultured bacterium
Lineage: Bacteria
Description: bacterial SSU rRNA
Rfam family: Bacterial small subunit ribosomal RNA
Source: RNAcentral
UACGGGAGGCAGCAGUGGGAAUCUUGCGCAAUGGGCGAAAGCCUGACGCAGCGACGCCGCGUGAGCGAUGAAGGCCCUCGGGUUGUAAAGCUCUGUGGGGAGGAAAGAAUAAGGAUGGGCCAAUACCCCAUCCGAUGACGGUACCUCCAUAGCAAGCACCGGCUAACUCUGUGCCAGCAGCCGCGGUAAGACAGAGGGUGCAAACGUUGUUCGGAAUUACUGGGCGUAAAGCGCGUGUAGGCGGCCAUGCAAGUCGGGUGUGAAAGCCCUCGGCUCAACCGAGGAAGUGCACCCGAAACUACGUGGCUGGAGUCCUGGAGAGGAAGGUGGAAUGCUCGGUGUAGAGGUGAAAUUCGUAGAUAUCAAGCGGAACACCGGUGGCGAAGGCGGCCUUCUGGACAGUGACUGACGCUGAGACGCGAAAGCGUGGGGAGCAAACAGGAUUAGAUACCCUGGUAGUCCACGCUGUAAACGAUGAGUGCUAGGUGUCACGGGCUUUGACCCUCGUGGUGCCGAAGCUAACGCGUUAAGCACUCCGCCUGGGGAGUACGGCCGCAAGGCUAAAACUCAAAGGAAUUGACGG